GAGAGUUUGAUCCUGGCUCAGGACGAACGCUGGCGGCGUGCUUAACACAUGCAAGUCGAACGGAAAGGCCCUUCGGGGGUACUCGAGUGGCGAACGGGUGAGUAACACGUGGGUGAUCUGCCCUGCACUUUGGGAUAAGCCUGGGAAACUGGGUCUAAUACCGGAUAUACCUCAUGGGCUGCAUGGUUUGUGAGGGAAAGCUUUUGCGGUGUGGGAUGGGCCCGCGGCCUAUCAGCUUGUUGGUGGGGUGAUGGCCUACCAAGGCGACGACGGGUAGCCGGCCUGAGAGGGUGACCGGCCACACUGGGACUGAGAUACGGCCCAGACUCCUACGGGAGGCAGCAGUGGGGAAUAUUGCACAAUGGGCGCAAGCCUGAUGCAGCGACGCCGCGUGAGGGAUGACGGCCUUCGGGUUGUAAACCUCUUUCAGCAGGGACGAAGCGCAAGUGACGGUACCUGUAGAAGAAGGACCGGCCAACUACGUGCCAGCAGCCGCGGUAAUACGUAGGGUCCGAGCGUUGUCCGGAAUUACUGGGCGUAAAGAGCUCGUAGGUGGUUUGUCGCGUUGUUCGUGAAAACUCACAGCUCAACUGUGGGCGUGCGGGCGAUACGGGCAGACUUGAGUACUGCAGGGGAGACUGGAAUUCCUGGUGUAGCGGUGGAAUGCGCAGAUAUCAGGAGGAACACCGGUGGCGAAGGCGGGUCUCUGGGCAGUAACUGACGCUGAGGAGCGAAAGCGUGGGGAGCGAACAGGAUUAGAUACCCUGGUAGUCCACGCCGUAAACGGUGGGUACUAGGUGUGGGUUUCUUCCUUGGGAUCCGUGCCGUAGCUAACGCAUUAAGUACCCCGCCUGGGGAGUACGGCCGCAAGGCUAAAACUCAAAGAAAUUGACGGGGGCCCGCACAAGCGGCGGAGCAUGUGGAUUAAUUCGAUGCAACGCGAAGAACCUUACCUGGGUUUGACAUGCACAGGACGCUGGUAGAGAUAUCAGUUCCCUUGUGGCCUGUGUGCA
RNAcentral lists this ribosomal RNA (1013 nucleotides) under Mycobacterium sp. IP20010664. RNAcentral describes it as "bacterial SSU rRNA". It matches the Rfam family "Bacterial small subunit ribosomal RNA", at positions 8 to 1036 of the family's 1533-position model. The record is from RNAcentral. Lineage: Bacteria; Bacillati; Actinomycetota; Actinomycetes; Mycobacteriales; Mycobacteriaceae.